Dicentrarchus labrax (European seabass) is the source of this 979-nucleotide long non-coding RNA. RefSeq lists it as uncharacterized. The transcript has 3 exons. Lineage: Eukaryota; Metazoa; Chordata; Actinopteri; Moronidae. The record is from RefSeq and is a predicted model, not a curated record.
AAAGCUGAACUGUGAACAGAGUGGCCAGCCAGAGCGAAGCCUGCCCACUCUGUUAUCUCUCCUAAGAAGUUGGCUCCAGACACAUACUCAAACAUUCCGCCUGCAGGUGAAGGAGACAGGAAUAAGGACAGUGUAAUUUUGAGUUGGCGCGCUGCUAAAACCUCAAAGGUCAUCUGCAGAACUAGCUCCACGCUGACCACAGACGGCUGAGCACCCACGAUUAGUCUGCAGGACGCGGCGUUGCUACACUCUAUUUGAAAAUGGCAGAUUCUUGGCUGAGGGGAUUCCAGACGUGCCUGGAAGUUCAUUUGGAGGAGCGCGGUGCACAGCUUCCUCCCACCUCGCCUUCUCCACUUUAUUUUCCUUAAGGGUCCAGGUUGGAUUGUUUGAACAGGUUCCUCAGGAUGUGGUCAGAGUGCACAUUCACCAGCCAACCGACCAACCACAGAACAGACCCUGGAGACGGACCAACCAAAAGCUGCUUCAGCACGACAUUUUACUGACCAGAAGCCAGUCAGCCGACUUAUGUUUUCAAAGGGAAUGCUUCAAACAUUUUGGGAAAUACUGUUAUUUGUGUUCUUUCCAAGAGUGAGAUUAACAGAUCAAUAUAACUCAUAUCUGUGUUUCCCCCUGACUCAACUCUUUAUGCUAAUCUCAGAUAAUAGCUUUCAUUUACUUCAUGCACAGAGCUCGCUCGGAGUUAGGUUUUCUCACCUAAUGCUCAGAAAGAGAGCAAAUUAGCAUAAGGUUGAACAUUUCUAUAAAAGUUACAGCAUGUACAUUCCUCAGUGUCAUUGCUGCUGUGACCAACAAUGGGAAAAAAUAAACCUAUUUACAUACAUACUUAUAAGCCAGUGAUAUCAUAUUUUUAUAAGCAUGGUUAUAUUAGGACUUUCUAUAACCUAAGCUCUAAAUCAUGAGAAACGUUCAAACUGAUAAUUAGUAUUUAAAAAAUAAACAUACGUACAUGAUAUUUCUA